RNAcentral lists this ribosomal RNA (267 nucleotides) under Streptomyces sp. RNAcentral describes it as "partial 16S ribosomal RNA". It matches the Rfam family "Bacterial small subunit ribosomal RNA", at positions 1023 to 1283 of the family's 1533-position model. The record is from RNAcentral. Lineage: Bacteria; Bacillati; Actinomycetota; Actinomycetes; Kitasatosporales; Streptomycetaceae.
GUGGUCGGUGUACAGGUGGUGCAUGGCUGUCGUCAGCUCGUGUCGUGAGAUGUUGGGUUAAGUCCCGCAACGAGCGCAACCCUUGUCCCGUGUUGCCAGCAGGCCCUUGUGGUGCUGGGGACUCACGGGAGACCGCCGGGGUCAACUCGGAGGAAGGUGGGGACGACGUCAAGUCAUCAUGCCCCUUAUGUCUUGGGCUGCACACGUGCUACAAUGGCCGGUACAAUGAGCUGCGAUACCGUGAGGUGGAGCGAAUCUCAAAAAGCC